This 506-nucleotide ribosomal RNA is filed under the name uncultured bacterium. RNAcentral describes it as "partial 16S ribosomal RNA". It matches the Rfam family "Bacterial small subunit ribosomal RNA", at positions 28 to 523 of the family's 1533-position model. The record is from RNAcentral.
GAUGAACGCUAGCUACAGGCUUAACACAUGCAAGUCGAGGGGUAACGAGAGGAAAGCUUGCUUUCCUUGUCGACGACCGGCGCACGGGUGAGUAACGCGUAUCCAACCUGCCCCCAACUAGGGAAUAACCUUGCGAAAGUAAGACUAAUACCCUAUAAUUUCCUCAGAUGACAUCUGACGAGGAAUAAAGAUUUAUCGGUUGUGGAUGGGGAUGCGUCUGAUUAGCUUGUUGGCGGGGUAACGGCCCACCAAGGCAACGAUCAGUAGGGGUUCUGAGAGGAAGGUCCCCCACAUUGGAACUGGGACACGGACCAAACUCCUACGGGAGGCAGCAGUGAGGAAUAUUGGUCAAUGGGCGGAAGCCUGAACCAGCCAAGUAGCGUGCAGGAUGACGGACCUAUGGGUUGUAAACUGCUUUUAUACAGGAAUAAAGUUAGCCACGUGUGGUUAUUUGUAGGUACUGUAUGAAUAAGGACCGGCUAAUUCCGUGCCAGCCGCCGCCGUAA